CGCUGCGCGGCCGCGGGCAGUGCGGACCUCGGGCCUCCGGAGAGCGGCUGCGGGCGCCUCUCCCGCGGGCAGUGCUGCGGCGUCUCCCCGGCGCUGCCGCUUCGCCGAGUUCCUCGGGCGGGUCCCGGCUCCAGAGAACACAAUGGUGGGUGAGGAGACUUCCCUAAGAAAUCGACUGUUGAAGUCCAGUGAAAAUCUUGAGGAGGACGAAGACCAGAAAAACGCCAUAAAGGAGUCCCUAAAGAUUCCUAAUAAUGGUGAGACUUUUAAUUUUUUGGAGUGAAUUAAUGGAAUGAAGAUAAAAUUUACUUUUCUAGCACAGGAA
Molecule: long non-coding RNA, 325 nt
Filed under: Dasypus novemcinctus (nine-banded armadillo)
Lineage: Eukaryota; Metazoa; Chordata; Mammalia; Cingulata; Dasypodidae
Description: lncRNA (ENSDNOG00000052133.1)
Source: RNAcentral